CAUCUUCUCCCAUCCUUCUUUGGUAUAUAGUAGGGUGGGGGAAGAUGGGACAC
RNAcentral lists this microRNA precursor (53 nucleotides) under Ciona intestinalis (vase tunicate). RNAcentral's name for it is "miRNA (ENSCING00000021086.1)". The record is from RNAcentral. Lineage: Eukaryota; Metazoa; Chordata; Ascidiacea; Phlebobranchia; Cionidae.